ACAGUAUUGAAGUGAAGCAGUAAAAGAAAGCAUUAAGGAAAGAAAAGACACAAAGAGCCAAGUUAGUUUCACAGUAGAGGAAAUAAAGACAGUAAGUAAAUGCAAUUAAAGAGGCAAUAAAGUUACAAGUAGCAUCCAAUGGUAAAAGCCCAAAGAAAUCCCCAGUAGAGUCGACAUGCUGUCGACACCCCCUUUUUCUAAGGUGAAAUUGGGUUCAUGCAUUUGGGAGGACAACUCUAUACCUUUGCGAGAAUUGGGUUUCGGAGUUGGAGAGUUGCCACCUAAUAAUUAUG
This 293-nucleotide long non-coding RNA is filed under the name Nicotiana benthamiana. RNAcentral's name for it is "long non-coding RNA (NBEN_LNC031948)". The record is from RNAcentral. Lineage: Eukaryota; Viridiplantae; Streptophyta; Magnoliopsida; Solanales; Solanaceae.